Molecule: long non-coding RNA, 506 nt
Organism: Oncorhynchus tshawytscha (Chinook salmon)
Lineage: Eukaryota; Metazoa; Chordata; Actinopteri; Salmoniformes; Salmonidae
Source: Ensembl
AAAAGAUUUAAGUGCCUUUGAAUGAGGUAUGGUAGUAGGGGCCAGGCGGUAGUAGUAGUAGUAUGGUAGUAGGGGCCAGGCGGUAGUAGUAGUAUGGUAGUAGGGGCCAGGCGGUAGUAGUAGUAUGGUAGUAGGGGCCAGGCGGUAGUAGUAGUAGUAUGGUAGUAGGGGACCAGGGUAGUAGUAGUAGUAUGGUAGUAGGGCCAGGCGGUAGUAGUAGUAUGGUAGUAGUAGUAGUAUGGUAGUAGUAGGGGCCAGGCGGUAGUAGUAGUAGUAUGGUAGUAGGGGCCAGGCGGUAGUAGUAGUAUGGUAGUAGGGGCCAGGCGGUAGUAGUAGUAUGGUAGUAGGGGCCAGGCGGUAGUAGUAGUAGUAUGGUAGUAGGGGCCAGGCGGUAGUAGUAUAUGGUAGUAGGGGCCAGGCGGUAGUAGUAGUAUGGUAGUAGUAGUAGUAGUAUGGUAGUAGGGGCCAGGCGGUAGUAGUAGUAGUAUGGUAGUAGGGGCCAGGCG